This 3433-nucleotide ribosomal RNA is filed under the name Coregonus clupeaformis (lake whitefish). RNAcentral's name for it is "eukaryotic LSU rRNA". It matches the Rfam family "Eukaryotic large subunit ribosomal RNA", at positions 79 to 3113 of the family's 3401-position model. The record is from RNAcentral. Lineage: Eukaryota; Metazoa; Chordata; Actinopteri; Salmoniformes; Salmonidae.
CUCAGUAGCGGCGAGCGAAGAGGGAAGAGCCCAGCGCCGAAAUUCCCCCGUCCCGUCCGGCGGGCGGGAAAUUGUGGCGUAAUAGAAGACCGCUUUGCCAUGUCGAUCCGGGGGCCUGAGUCCUUCUGAUCGAGGCUCAGCCCGUGGAAGGUGUGAGGGCCGGUAACGGGCCCCCGUCGCGGCGGGGGCCGGUCUUUCGGAGUCGGGUUGUUGGGAAUGCAGGCCAAAGUGUGGGUUGUUAAACUCCAUCUCUAAGGGCUAAUACCGGCACCGAGACCGUAGUCGACAAGUACCGUAAAGGGAAAGUUGAAAAGAACUUUGAAAAGAGAGAGAGGUUCAAGAGGGGCGUUAAAACGUUGAGAGGGUAAACGGGUGGGGGUCCGCGCAAGUCUGCCCGGAGGAUUCAAACCGGCGGCGGGUUCAGGGUCGGCCGUUCCGGUGUGGUCGGAUCCCCUCGUGGGACCGAACCCCCGGUCGGGCUCGGCCCCCGCCGGGCGCAUUUCCUUCCGUCGGUGGUGCGCGCGACCGGCUCUGGUUCGGCUUGGAAGGGCUGGGGGGGAAGGGGGCUACCGGUUUCGGCCGUGAGCUUUACAGCGCCCACUGCUCCGUACUCGCCCCUCUCCCGGGGCCGAGGACUUAGUACCCCUGCGUCAUGCCCCCCUCCGGGGGGGACGGGGCCCCCUUCCCCCGGCGCGACUGUCACCGGGUCGGACUGUCCUCAAGUGCGCACCAACCGCGUUGCGUCGCCAGGGCGGGGAUCGGCUCACGUAAACUGGCCGCAAGGGGUCAGUGGCGAUGGUCGGAACCCACCCGACCCGUCUUGUAACACGGGACCAAGGAGUCUAACGCGCGCGCCAAGUCAGAAGGUCUUGAAACACGGACCAAGGAGUCUAACGCGCGCGCAAGUCAGAGGGUUUUCUCCGAACACACCCCCGUGGCGCAAUAAGUGAGGGCCGGCGCGCGCCGGCUGAGGUGGGAUCCCGGCCCCUCCGGGGGCCGGGGCGCACCCGGCCCGUCUCGCCGCUCUGUCGGGAGUGGAGCGUGAGCGCGUUCCGAUAAGGACCCGAAAGAUGGUGAACUAUGCCUGGGCAGGGCGAAGCCAGAGAAACUCUGGUUGAAGGUCCGUAGCCGGUCCUUGACGUGCAAAUCGGUGUCGUCCGACCUGGGUAUAGGGGGCGGAAAGACUAAUCGAACAUUCUAGUAGCUGGGUUUCUUCCGAAAAGUUUUCCCUCAGGAUAGCUAGCUCACGCGCGAGUUUUAUCGGGUAAAGCAAAUGAUUAGAGGCAUCGGGGGCGUAACGCCCUCGACCUAUUCUCAAACUUUAAAUAGGUAAGAGGGUGCGGCUGCUCCAUUGAGCCGCGCCGUNNNNACUUAUUCUUCAAACCUUUAAAUUGGGUAAGAACCCGGGUCGCUGGCUUGGAGCCCGGCGGGAUGCGAGCGCCCUAGGUGGGCCACUUUUGGGUAAGCAGAACUGGCGCUGCGGGAUGACCGGAACGCGGGGUUAAGGGGCGCCCGAUGCCGACGGCUCUCAUCAGAACCCCAAGGAAAAAGGUGUUGGUUCGAUAUAGACAGCAGGACGGUGGCCAUGGGAGGUCGGAAUCCGCUAAAGGAGUGUGUAACAACUCCCCUUGCCGAAUCAAGUACCCUGAAAAUGGAUGGCGCUCAAGCGUGUUACCCAUACCUCGCCGUCAGCGUUGAAGUGACGCGCUGACGAGUAGGCAGGCGUGGAGGUCAGUGAAGAAGCCUAGGCAGUAAUGCUGGGUGAAACGGCCUCUAGUGCAGAUCUUGGUGGUAGUAGCAAAUAUUCAAGUGAGAACCUUGAAGACUGAAGUGGAGAAAGGUUCCAUGGUAACAGCAGUUGGACAUGGGUUAGUCGAUCCUAAGAGAUAGGGAAGCUCCGUUUCAAAGUGUCUGCUUGUUCAGACCGCCUAUCGAAAGGGAAUCCGGUUAAGAUUCCGGAACCAGGAUGUGGAUCUUUAACGGCAACGUAAAUGAACUUGGAGACGCUGGCGAGGGCCCCGGGAAGAGUUAUCUUUUCUCCUUAACAGUCUACCACCCUGAAAUCGGUUUGUCCGGAGCUAGGGUUCAAUGACUGGUAGAGCUCGACACCUCUGUCGGGUCCGGUGCGUUCUCGACAGCCCUUGAAAAUCCAAGGGAAUGAAUAACUUUCACGCCUGGUCGUACUCAUAACCGCAGCAGGUCUCCAAGGUGAACAGCCUCUAGUUGAUAGAACAAUGUAGAUAAGGGAAGUCGGCAAAAUAGAUCCGUAACUUCGGGAAAAGGAUUGGCUCUAAGGGUUGGGCACGUCGGGCCUUGGCUGGAAGCCGCGGGACCCGGCUGGGACUGUUGGGGCAACCUGACGGACUCGGCUGGGACCUGCGUGUGGAUGGCCUUGGCUGCUUUCGGGCGUCCGGCGUGCGUUUAACAACCGACUUAGAACUGGUACGGACAAGGGGAAUCUGACUGUCUAAUUAAAACAUAGCAUUGCGAUGGCCAGAAAGUGGUGUUGANNNNNUCAAUGAAGCGCGGGUAAAACGGCGGGAGUAACUAUGACUCUCUCAAGGUAGCCAAAAUGCCCUCGUCAUCCUAAUUAGUGACGCGCAUGAAUGGAUGAACGAGAUUUCCCAACUGUCCCCCCCUACUAUCUAGCGAAACACGCCAAGGGAGAAGGGCUUGGCGGAACAGGGGGGAAGAAGGACCCUGGUUGAGCUUGACUCUUAGUCUGGCACUGUGAAGAAGACAUGAGAGGUUGUUGGAUAAGUGGGAGGCGCCCCGGCCCGCCGGUGAAAAUACCACUACUCUUAUCGUUUUUUCACUUACCCCGGUGAGGCGGGGGGCGAGCCCCGAGCGGGCUCUCGCUUCUGGCGUCAUGCCCCCGGCGCGAGCGGCGCGACCCGCUCCGGGGACAGUGGCAGGUGGGGGUUUUACUGGGGCGGUACACCUGUCAAACGGUAACGCAGGUGUCCUAAAGCCGAGCUCAAGGAAGGACAGGAACCCUCCUGUGGAGCAGGAGGGGCAAAAGCUCGCUUGAUCUUGAUUUUCAGUAUGAAUACAGACCGUGAAAGGGGGCCUCACGAUCCUCCUCUGAGACUUUUGGUUUUAAGCAGGAGGGUGUCCAGGAAAAGGUUAACCACAGGAUAACUGGCUUGUGGCGGCCAAGCGGUCAUAACGACGUCGCUCUUUUUGAUCCUUCGGUGUCGGCUCCUUCCUAUCAUUGUGAAGCAGAAAUUCACCAAGCGUUGGAUUGUUCAACCACUAAUAGGGGAACCUUGAGCGGGUUUAGACCGUCGUGAGACAGGUUAGUUUUAACCUUACUGAUGAUGUUUGUUGCAAUAGUAAUCCUGCUCAGUACGAGAGGAACCGCAGGUUCAGACUUUUGGGUGUAUGUGCUUGGCUGAGGAGCAAAUUGGUGCGGAAGCUACCAUCUGUGGGU